This 751-nucleotide long non-coding RNA is filed under the name Homo sapiens (human). RNAcentral's name for it is "HSALNT0305135". The record is from RNAcentral. Lineage: Eukaryota; Metazoa; Chordata; Mammalia; Primates; Hominidae.
GCAAGACCCUGUCUCUAAAACAAUAACAUCAACUAAAACAAAAACCACGCAGAUUGCUGGACCCCAACCUAGAGUUUCUGAUCCAGUAGUAUUGGGGUGGGGCCUGAGAAUUUGCAUUUCUGACAAGUCCCCAGAUGAUGUUGAUCCUUAUUCUCCUGGCCCAUAGACCACUUAAUUAAAGCCAGCAAAGUAGUCAUCAACGUUGACCCAGGAUAUAAGCUGAAGAUGAUGAACAGCCUUGAGGCAGUAAGGGAGGCCUGCCCUCCAACAUCAGGAAGCCAAGUGAAGGCGUGACUCACCAGGGCAGGGUGGGGUUCCUGCGUGUGAGAAACCAGAAUUGAGAGCUGCACCAGCUGUGUGGCCCCAGGUUUCUCAGGGUGAGGAGAGGCAGCCCAGGGGAAAGGCACUCGGGACCACACCCCAACUCACCUACCCUGUAUAAUAAAAGAAGGCGUGCAAGAAGAUCUAUAUGCAGUGACGUGCAAAGGUAUCAAGAACAAGUUGCGAAACCCCAUGGUAUGAUUUCAUCUGAUUAAAAGAAAAAAGGUGGUAGGUGCUGAAUGGUUGAAUAAAUGAACAGUCCUAAAAUGGAUAUAUUUUGGGGCAACAGUAAGUUGCCCCCAGGAAGAAAAUCACUUUUGGAAAAUAAAACUGGCAAGAAUCUAUGCUAAAUGGAUGAGACCAGCCACAGAAGCACUUCAUCCUAAAAGAUGGUAAAGGUGGUGUAUACAAAAUUAGGCCGGGUGCAGUG